UUUGAGCAUAGCGAGAACGUACGCCGUGCUGUCCAGUGAUAAAAGCUGUUGAGCACAGCAGAGCUCCCAGAGUACUGUGGUGGACAACGUUUCUUUGUUCUCUGGCUUUCAAGUUUAAGGGGUGCUUGGACUAUCUUGCAUCGGUGGAUAUGAAAAUAGUGGUAACCUACCCUACGAAACAGCUGUUUGCACAUAAGCUUAACAGUUCCCUGUGAGAUGCUGUGAAAGUCAGCAGGGAAGUGCGAUGUAGAAGAAACGACUGCCAGAAGCUUGCUAAGGAACCGCACAACCUGUGUGGGCAGCAGACAAAAUAUUCAUCAAACGAAGUUUUGCACCAAAGUUAUGAGAGCAGCACAGAUGUUGUUUUAGCGUAAUGGAGUGAUGGAAGUGCUGCGCCAAUCAUGGAGUGCUUAGCAGUCGCCUGCUCGACCAGCCACAGUGAGUCAUUGGAGGCAGUGCUGCAGCACCAACAAUCACUCGUUGGAAGAAAGGAAUGAGGUGGCCAUCAACACCCUGCUGCCA
Ornithodoros turicata is the source of this 522-nucleotide long non-coding RNA. RefSeq lists it as uncharacterized. The record is from RefSeq and is a predicted model, not a curated record. NCBI's taxonomy places the organism in Eukaryota, Metazoa, Arthropoda, Arachnida, Ixodida, Argasidae. The transcript has 5 exons.